GAUUUCUGGUUUAAUGCACCUGGCCCGCGGCCAAUAGGCUUGUGAGUGCCGGCGCGCGUUUACCAUCCUUCUAGAAAACGAUUCUGCCAUUCACUUGGUUGGGACCGCGAUCUAGAUCUUUUACUUUGAAAAAAUUAGAGUGUUUAAAGCAGGCUUUUGCUAUGAAUACAUUAGCAUGGAAUAAUAAUCUAGGACUUCGGUUCUAUUUUGUUGGUUUCUAUAACUGAAGUAAUGAUUGAUAGGGAUAGUUGGGGGUGCUAGUAUUGGCCGGCCAGAGGUGAAAUUCUUGGAUUCGGUCAAGACUAACUUAUGCGAAAGCAUU
RNAcentral lists this ribosomal RNA (322 nucleotides) under uncultured Rhogostoma. RNAcentral's name for it is "SSU rRNA". The stretch from base 105 to 322 matches the Rfam family "Eukaryotic small subunit ribosomal RNA", at positions 736 to 955 of the family's 1831-position model. The record is from RNAcentral. Lineage: Eukaryota; Cercozoa; Thecofilosea; Cryomonadida.